RNAcentral lists this ribosomal RNA (680 nucleotides) under Inocybe sp. RNAcentral's name for it is "LSU rRNA". It matches the Rfam family "Eukaryotic large subunit ribosomal RNA", at positions 274 to 935 of the family's 3401-position model. The record is from RNAcentral. Lineage: Eukaryota; Fungi; Basidiomycota; Agaricomycetes; Agaricales; Inocybaceae.
UUGGGAAUGCAGCUCAAAACGGGUGGUAAAUGCCAUCUAAAGCUAAAUAUUGGCGAGAGACCGAUAGCGAACAAGUACCGUGAGGGAAAGAUGAAAAGAACUUUGGAAAGAGAGUUAAACAGUACGUGAAAUUGCUGAAAGGGAAACGCUUGAAGUCAGUCGCGUUGGCUAGAAAUCAGCCUUGCUUUUGCUUGGUGUACUUUCUGGUUUUUUUCAACGGGUCAGCAUCAAUUUUGACCAUUGGAUAAAGUCUUUGGGAAUGUGGCAUCUUUUGGAUGUGUUAUAGCCCAUCGUCGCAUGCAGUGGUUGGGAUUGAGGAACUCAGCACGCCUGCAAAGGCCGGGUUUCGACCACGCUUCCGUGCUUAGGAUGCUGGCAUAAUGGCUUUAAUCGACCCGUCUUGAAACACGGACCAAGGAGUCUAACAUGCCUGCGAGUGUUUGGGUGGAAAACCCAUGCGCGAAAUGAAAGUGAAAGUUGAGAUCCCUCUCAGGGGGGAGCAUUGACGCCNGGACCAGACCUUUUGUGACGGAUCCGCGGUAGAGCAUGUAUGUUGGGACCCGAAAGAUGGUGAACUAUGCCUGAAUAGGGUGAAGCCAGAGGAAACUCUGGUGGAGGCUCGUAGCGAUUCUGACGUGCAAAUCGAUCGUCAAAUUUGGGUAUAGGGGCGAAAGACUAAU